Molecule: long non-coding RNA, 566 nt
Organism: Eublepharis macularius
Lineage: Eukaryota; Metazoa; Chordata; Lepidosauria; Squamata; Eublepharidae
Exons: 2
Source: RefSeq, a predicted model, not a curated record
UCCAGCCCACUCUGAGGCAAGGAGAGAGCCCCAGUCCGAAAAGCAGAGAAACGCCACGCCAGCUCCUGCGGUCGCCUCCUGUCCUCACUCACCAUGUAGAGGGUGAAGGGGAAGCCGAGCAGGAAGAGCCACAGCUGACCUUUGGCAAAGAAGAUUUGUCUGCAUUGCUGAUCCUGGUUGUCCCUGAUCUUCUACCACUUGCUCAUCUGCUGUUUGAUUUUGUAUACUUACGUGUGGUUAUAUUGAUAUAUGGCUUCGGUAAUUUGGAUAUUUUGCAGUAUAAACCUAAACAGAGUCCCACCCUUCUGUGCCUGUUGAACAUGUUAUGCAGUACACACUAGUGGAAGAAAACAGAAGAAAACACAAAUCUCCCUGGGAAGAGAGUUCCAGAGUUUCGGUGCCACAGCCAGGAAAGCCCUCUCCCAGACUGCCACUUUACUAAUCUCAGAAGGUGGGGGCAUCCUAAGCAGGGCCUCCAAAGAUGACCACAGAGGUUGGGUAGGUUUAUAAACAGGCUCUAAAUAAAAAAGUCUGACCCAAGUUAUGAAAAUGACCAAUGAACACAA